GGGAUCUCAAGCUCAUUUUAUCUUGGGGGCCAUUGCCAAAGUUAUAUCCUCCCAUGGAGGCCGCAGAUCUGUACACCCAACUGCGCAACCACAUACAGAGAUCCACAUCCACUGACGUGAGCACGCAUACGGAUACAUACUCUCAAACACACACACAGAUCUGUACACUCACACACACUUACAGAUACAUAUUGCCAGGCACACACACACACACACACACUCUCUCUCUCCCUCCCUCCUUCCCCCACCACCUGCAGCAUUAAUACCACACAGGCACACACAGAUCUGUACACUCACACACACUUACAGAUACAUAUUGCCAGGCACACACACACACACACACUCUCUCUCUCUCCCUCCCUCCUUCCCCCACCACCUGCAGCAUUAAUACCACA
This is a non-coding RNA of Pelobates cultripes (western spadefoot toad), 395 nucleotides long. Lineage: Eukaryota; Metazoa; Chordata; Amphibia; Anura; Pelobatidae. The record is from the annotation of a GenBank genome assembly.